AGUGAACGCUGGCGGUAGGCCUAACACAUGCCAGUCGAACGGCAGCACAGUAAGAGCUUGCUCUUACGGGUGGCGAGUGGCGGACGGGUGAGGAAUACAUCGGAAUCUACUUUUUCGUGGGGGAUAACGUAGGGAAACUUACGCUAAUACCGCAUACGACCUUCGGGUGAAAGCAGGGGAUCUUCGGACCUUGCGCGAUUGAAUGAGCCGAUGUCGGAUUAGCUAGUUGGCGGGGUAAAGGCCCACCAAGGCGACGAUCCGUAGCUGGUCUGAGAGGAUGAUCAGCCACACUGGAACUGAGACACGGUCCAGACUCCUACGGGAGGCAGCAGUGGGGAAUAUUGGACAAUGGGCGCAAGCCUGAUCCAGCCAUACCGCGUGGGUGAAGAAGGCCUUCGGGUUGUAAAGCCCUUUUGUUGGGAAAGAAAAGCAGCAGGUUAAUACCCCGCUGUUCUGACGGUACCCAAAGAAUAAGCACCGGCUAACUUCGUG
This 492-nucleotide ribosomal RNA is filed under the name uncultured bacterium. RNAcentral's name for it is "partial 16S ribosomal RNA". It matches the Rfam family "Bacterial small subunit ribosomal RNA", at positions 29 to 507 of the family's 1533-position model. The record is from RNAcentral.